Molecule: non-coding RNA, 217 nt
Organism: Pelobates cultripes (western spadefoot toad)
Lineage: Eukaryota; Metazoa; Chordata; Amphibia; Anura; Pelobatidae
Source: the annotation of a GenBank genome assembly
AUAGAGUAACUCAGUGAUAGUAUAGUCUGCUUAAAGGGACACUCCAGGCACCCAGUCCUGGAUCUGCGCUUUUGAACUGGCACUUCGGAUACAGCCGAAAUGCUGAAGUAGUUGAAGUGGCCGCCAUUCGACAAACGAACAUGUGGCAGCGGUCAUUUUAAUUCAGUCAAACGCGUUCAGCAAUGUUUGGUCGUCGAGUUCAUGGAACUAAAAUCGG